CCUACCGGAGGCAGCAGUGSGGAAUAUUACACAAUGGAAGGAAGCCUGACGCAGCGACGCCGCGUGGGGGAUGACGGCCUUCGGGUUGUAAACCUCUUUCMCCGGGACGAAGAGAGAYGACCCGACCGGAUAACCCGGCCCAGUUCACUCCGUGCCAGCAGCCGCGGUAAU
RNAcentral lists this ribosomal RNA (171 nucleotides) under uncultured bacterium. Its description in RNAcentral is "partial 16S rRNA". It matches the Rfam family "Bacterial small subunit ribosomal RNA", at positions 338 to 524 of the family's 1533-position model. The record is from RNAcentral.